Long non-coding RNA from Ceratitis capitata (Mediterranean fruit fly), 2390 nucleotides. RefSeq lists it as uncharacterized. Lineage: Eukaryota; Metazoa; Arthropoda; Insecta; Diptera; Tephritidae. The record is from RefSeq and is a predicted model, not a curated record. The transcript is spliced from 6 exons.
AAUAACUCUAAAUAUCAAAAAUAAAACCGAAAUGUAAAUUAAAUAAUAUUCUACACAGCAAUAUUGACUCUAAUAAUCGAGAAACCAACUCAUGGAACUAAAUAAGUGAGAAAGUGUAAAAAUAUAUGUAUUAUUAUUUAAAAAAAAAACACAUUUUCAUUUAAAGCAAAUCGCUCGGUUGUGAUUGAUAAAUACGUGUCUCAAACGCAUCUGAUUAACAGGAUUUAUAGAAGAAAUUUUCAAUAAAAUAUUUCUAAUUAUGUGUAAAUAUCUCAUAACUAAAACUAUUUAGUGCAUUUUAAGUAAAUAAAUUUUAGCGUCAAUCAUAAAUUAAAUCGAUCAUUAAAUUAAAAACGAAAACAUUGUAAACGCCCAACUGAAGUGUGCAGAAAAUACUUGCUCGUAAAAUUUGAACAAAAACACUAGUAAAGUUAUAUAUAUGAUAUAAAAAGCUAUUGGUAUUUGAGCGGAUGUAUGAAAUAGAGGCGGAUCGCAGCUAUAAAACACUGCUACUACAAAUAAAUAAAUACCAAAAAGUAAAAGAAAAUUGCCAUAAAAACAUUCUAGUGCAAAUAAUUAGCUCGCCAUUCAAUUUUCAAUUUUGCUUUGUACAACAAACUACCGAUUAGUAUGGCAAUUGAUGAGCCGAAAAUUCAAAAUUUUUAAUAAAAAUAUCAAAAGCAACGUAUGCAACACAAAUUACCGUAAUAAGGAAAUACUAUAACAUUGUCGUUUAACAUAUUUACGAAACUGUUCGCAUGUCUGUGUGCGUGGGUUUUGAAGCCUCUAGUUAAUUUCUGUUAAUUACCACUGGAAACUUUUAUAUCUGUAUUUUACAAUGGAUAGACUUCAUAUCUGACUUCAUAUCCACUAGUUUUGCCACUCUAAAACUCUGUAACCUCCCGACGUCUAAUUUAAUAAAAAUAACCACUGAAAUUUUAAAUCCUGCAUAAACAGUACAGCUGCUAAUGAGAAUAACGGGAAAGGCGAUAACUCAUAUUAAAGCUUGUGAAAUUAAUAAAAAUAUAUUAGACUUUGUGUACCGAAGUUAACAAUGACUCCAAAGAAUCUUGACGUGAUAAUCAGCUGAAACGUAUUGAGUGAUAUCGUAUGUACGUAUGUAUGUAUAAACGAUAUUCACGAACAAGAACAAAUUUGAACGAGGCACGGAUUUUCCUCUGAGACAACUAAACUAACUGAGUAGUUAAAGCAACAGUUGCUCUCUUUGGCAUCAGUGGUGAGUUUAGAACUGACAGCAAAACUAUUUAUUACGGUACUCAAUGACAAACUGCGGAUAUUCUACUAGCGAGUAAUAGCGCAAUCAGCAUUUGAACACACCUCUCAUCCGUGCCUUACGACUUUAAGAGGGAAACAUGGCCAAAAGUUAUGCUCGCAGCUUACCAGUGCGAUAUUAGCUGUGCUUUCGCCAGUUGUCAGUAAGUAUCCGUAUUUUUUGUUAUUUUUUGUAAUAAAUUCACAAUCUCCGUUAUCAAAUUUCAUAAUUUAUAUUUACGAAUGUGAACUUAAAUCAAAAAUUAGUGAGCUGUAAAUAAUUAAAAAGUCUCCGCGGUUUCUGUCACUACUUGGUGUUCAAACCUUAUUUCAGGCAACUCUAAAUCGAUUAUGUCAAACGAAUAUAUCUUUGAAAGCUGACAUUUUAAGUAAUAUUUCUUGUAAAGAUAGUUCUGUAAAUCGUCAUUUGUGUGAAAAGUUAUUUUGAUGUGAAAUGAGUGACAUUACGCGCAAAUGUGACGCUUUUUUAGCUAUAAAAAGUUUGUACUAUAAAAAGUUUGUACUAUAAAAAAGGUAAAAACUUUGCAAAAAUCAUGCGAAAAAUUUGCAAUACCGGAACCCAAGAUUGGUUUGCUCGUUAUCCAUUUUGCGGUUUCGAAAAUAAACGUUAAUUAAAUAAAUUUUUUUAUUUUCUUUUUUUCAUGAAAUCCUUUUCGUUAUAAAUUUUGAACCGCUCUCAUUUUAUGUGAAACAUUCAUUCUAAUGACGCAGGUUCUCCAUAAUCUGCUCUCAAAGCACGAAACGUGUUUGAAGCACCAUUUUUUUUUUUGCACGUCUUAAUAAUUUGAACGCGUUUUGCGGUUGUCAAGCGAGCCAUUUUCAUAAAAGUCGGUUUUUGAACCAAAGCCAAAAUAAGUUUGCUUUAAUUCAAUUAAGUUUGACAGUUGCCAAAAUACAACUCUGCACUUUUGAAGCCACGAAAAGAAUAACCGUUUAACGAACGGUGAAACAACUUUUACUGCCUAAAAAAUUCGUUUUGGUUUUUCCGCGCAAUUUUUCGCACCAAACAAUUAGCCAAUUGCGAACGCACCCACUUCCCUGACUAGUUAAACAUUCGACUUAAUAUGAUAAAUAAAUUAAUAAUGAGUUCUUUUUUU